AUGUUGUCUGAAAGAGAGGUUAGCGCUCCCCUUAACAAAGGUGAAAGAGUCCCUCAGGCCUGACAACACAUAUGCAGUUAAGGCAUUGCCACCUACUUGGUGGCAUCUAACCAUGUAAGUGC
Small nuclear RNA from Pteronotus mesoamericanus, 122 nucleotides. Lineage: Eukaryota; Metazoa; Chordata; Mammalia; Chiroptera; Mormoopidae. The record is from RefSeq and is a predicted model, not a curated record.